Long non-coding RNA from Larimichthys crocea (large yellow croaker), 579 nucleotides. RefSeq lists it as uncharacterized. The record is from RefSeq and is a predicted model, not a curated record. Lineage: Eukaryota; Metazoa; Chordata; Actinopteri; Sciaenidae. The transcript is spliced from 4 exons.
AGAUGUUGGAGCACAGCGGCAACCAGCACAAUAUGAAUAUAAUAUGAAGAGUGACUGGUGUUCUGCAUCAAAGUCAGAAAAAGUUUGUUAGACAUGACAUCACAACAGAGUUAAGAAGACACACACACUUCUACAAAGCUCGUGUGUGAACACGUAACUCCACGUCAGGAAGCAGAAACACAAACACAGUGUGAACAUGUGGAGGACACGUCACUGAAGGUCACUGAUCCACCGAGUGUGAAGCAGAGGACACACGGACACAGCAGCCGAGAGAACGACACGCCGACACCGCGCUCGUUAGGACGUGACGUCAGUUUCAGCAGGUGACAGGGAAGGUAGAUGCCACAAUUUGCUCCCAAUAUGACCUUCAUCGAUGACAUAAUCAUAGAUGUCCACUUGAAAAUUGCAGCUACCAACCACAGAUUCCUGCACAGCUGCUCAGACUGUCUGCUUAUGUACACCUACACCAACGAGAACAACUACACAGCAUUGUACCUAUUCGGCAGGAAUACCACUCUAGAAGCCUCUGAUCUGGAGACACUCAGGAAACAAGCUACAUGUCUCCAGUUUCCACUGCCA